CGGCGCGGGAAUCGAUUUUCCGGUUGAUCCUGCCGGAGGUCCUGCUAUCGGGGUUCGAUUAAGCCAUGCGAGUUGAGAGGGUUUAGACCCUCGGCGGACUGCUCAGUAACACGUGGAUAACCUGCCCUAAGGUGGAGGAUAACCCCGGGAAACUGGGGAUAAUACUCCAUAGACCAGAGUGACUGGAAUGUUUUCUGGUCGAAAGUUCCGGCGCCUUAGGAUGGAUCUGCGGCCGAUUAGGUAGUUGUUGGGGUAACGGCCCAACAAGCCAGUCAUCGGUACGGGUUGUGGGAGCAAGAGCCCGGAGAUGGAAUCUGAGACACGAUUCCAGGCCCUACGGGGCGCAGCAGGCGCGAAAACUUUACAAUGCAGGAAACUGUGAUAAGGGAACCCCGAGUGCUCGUACACGCGAGCUGUCCAGGUGUGUAAAAAGCAUCUGAAGAAAGGGCCGGGCAAGACCGGUGCCAGCCGCCGCGGUAAUACCGGCGGCUCGAGUGGUGGCCACUAUUAUUGGGCUUAAAGCGUUCGUAGCUGGACUCUUAAGUCUCCUGGGAAAUCCGCCGGCUCAACCGGCGGGCGUCCAGGAGAUACUGGGAGUCUUGGAACCAGGAAGAGUAGA
RNAcentral lists this ribosomal RNA (619 nucleotides) under uncultured archaeon. RNAcentral describes it as "bacterial SSU rRNA". It matches the Rfam family "Archaeal small subunit ribosomal RNA", at positions 1 to 612 of the family's 1478-position model. The record is from RNAcentral.